UCUGCUCUUCACACCCGCGUAUUUUCAGGUUCACCUCCCCUUCUCAAAACCCAAAAUCCUUCCUCUCCUUCAAUAUACAGCUCCCCUCUUCUUCAAUGAAUGCUAUGGAAUUUCAAAAGAAUAUCUCGGUAUCAAUAAUGCAUGCCUUUUGGUAUUUCUAUAUCUUAUAUAGGAAGAGGUUCUGCAUCUAUUCCGAUUGUACUUUUCUUCACCAUUUUAAUGGUCCUGGUGGUUCUGCAUCUAUUCCGAUGGUACUUUUCUUCACAAUUUUAAUGGUCCUGGUUUAUGCUCUGCAAAACGAAUUCUUCCUAAGGUACAUCAUUCAAUGUCUUCUUGUAUUUCUUCAGGUAUUCAGCUUUUAUGUACUGCAUAUCAAUCUCAGUCCUUGUCACAAUUACCCUUAUAAGGGUGGUGUCAUCAGUCCCCAAACCCUUCAUAGCCUUAUGCAACACCUGCAAAAUUUCAGACGUGUUAGGAUGCAUCCAUAUCAUUUUUAUUACAAUAAUAAAAAUGGUAUAUAGGUCCUUCAGUACCAUAAUCCCACAUCAGUAAAAGCAUAUCUGAACCUGUUGUUCAGAAAAACUAGAGAUAUGGUCCAUAUGGAAACGGAGAGAAUAGUUUGACAGAGCAUAAUUUCAUUCCUAUCUAAUUUUAGUAUCAGAAUAGUGAAUAUAGUCAUAAAUCAAUGAGUUAGGUCCACUUUUGUUCUGUUGGUUUCUAAUCGUUACAAUGGAAGAACUUGUAAUUUAUUGGAAUAAUGUGAGGGAUAUUUGGCAGCUCAUAAUAAAAGGAAAUUAUGCAAAAGCUUUAUAGAAUUA
Quercus robur (English oak) is the source of this 818-nucleotide long non-coding RNA. RefSeq lists it as uncharacterized. NCBI's taxonomy places the organism in Eukaryota, Viridiplantae, Streptophyta, Magnoliopsida, Fagales, Fagaceae. The transcript has 2 exons. The record is from RefSeq and is a predicted model, not a curated record.